This 535-nucleotide ribosomal RNA is filed under the name Fusarium oxysporum. RNAcentral's name for it is "eukaryotic LSU rRNA". It matches the Rfam family "Eukaryotic large subunit ribosomal RNA", at positions 68 to 626 of the family's 3401-position model. Lineage: Eukaryota; Fungi; Ascomycota; Sordariomycetes; Hypocreales; Nectriaceae. The record is from RNAcentral.
ACAGGGAUUGCCCUAGUAACGGCGAGUGAAGCGGCAACAGCUCAAAUUUGAAAUCUGGCUCUCGGGCCCGAGUUGUAAUUUGUAGAGGAUACUUUUGAUGCGGUGCCUUCCGAGUUCCCUGGAACGGGACGCCAUAGAGGGUGAGAGCCCCGUCUGGUUGGAUGCCAAAUCUCUGUAAAGUUCCUUCAACGAGUCGAGUAGUUUGGGAAUGCUGCUCUAAAUGGGAGGUAUAUGUCUUCUAAAGCUAAAUACCGGCCAGAGACCGAUAGCGCACAAGUAGAGUGAUCGAAAGAUGAAAAGCACUUUGAAAAGAGAGUUAAAAAGUACGUGAAAUUGUUGAAAGGGAAGCGUUUAUGACCAGACUUGGGCUUGGUUAAUCAUCUGGGGUUCUCCCCAGUGCACUUUUCCAGUCCAGGCCAGCAUCAGUUUUCCCCGGGGGAUAAAGGCGGCGGGAAUGUGGCUCUCUUCGGGGAGUGUUAUAGCCCACCGUGUAAUACCCUGGGGGGGACUGAGGUUCGCGCAUCUGCAAGGAUGC